GUCUGGCAAGCUCAGUUGGCAGAGCGUUAGACUUUUAAUUUGAGGGUCCAGGGUUCAAGUCCCUGGUCAGAUG
This is a non-coding RNA of Gopherus evgoodei (Goodes thornscrub tortoise), 73 nucleotides long. The record is from the annotation of a RefSeq genome assembly. NCBI's taxonomy places the organism in Eukaryota, Metazoa, Chordata, Testudines, Testudinidae.